GUUUUAAUAAUUUAAUAAAAAUAUUGGUUUUGUAAACCAAACAUAAGAUAUACCUUUUAAAACU
RNAcentral lists this transfer RNA (64 nucleotides) under Prostomis sp. PRO01. RNAcentral's name for it is "tRNA-Thr". Lineage: Eukaryota; Metazoa; Arthropoda; Insecta; Coleoptera; Prostomidae. The record is from RNAcentral.